UGUAGCUCAGUAGCCAGAGCACUUGCCUAAAAUCCAUGAAGCCCUGGAUUCAAUCUCCAGCA
RNAcentral lists this transfer RNA (62 nucleotides) under Ictidomys tridecemlineatus (thirteen-lined ground squirrel). RNAcentral's name for it is "Spermophilus tridecemlineatus (thirteen-lined ground squirrel) tRNA". It matches the Rfam family "tRNA", at positions 6 to 65 of the family's 71-position model. Rfam says of the family: Transfer RNA (tRNA) molecules are approximately 80 nucleotides in length. Their secondary structure includes four short double-helical elements and three loops (D, anti-codon, and T loops). Further hydrogen bonds mediate the characteristic L-shaped molecular structure. tRNAs have two regions of fundamental functional importance: the anti-codon, which is responsible for specific mRNA codon recognition, and the 3' end, to which the tRNAs corresponding amino acid is attached (by aminoacyl-tRNA synthetases). tRNAs cope with the degeneracy of the genetic code in two manners: having more than one tRNA (with a specific anti-codon) for a particular amino acid; and 'wobble' base-pairing, i.e. permitting non-standard base-pairing at the 3rd anti-codon position. The record is from Rfam by way of RNAcentral. Lineage: Eukaryota; Metazoa; Chordata; Mammalia; Rodentia; Sciuridae.